UACGUAGGGUGCAAGCGUUAAUCGGAAUUACUGGGCGUAAAGCGUGCGCAGGCGGUUUUGUAAGUCUGUCGUGAAAUCCCCGGGCUCAACCUGGGAAUUGCGAUGGAGACUGCAAGGCUAGAAUCUGGCAGAGGGGGGUAGAAUUCCACGUGUAGCAGUGAAAUGCGUAGAGAUGUGGAGGAACACCGAUGGCGAAGGCAGCCCCCUGGGUCAAGAUUGACGCUCAUGCACGAAAGCUAGGGGAGCAAACAGG
Molecule: ribosomal RNA, 253 nt
Filed under: uncultured bacterium
Lineage: Bacteria
Description: partial 16S ribosomal RNA
Rfam family: Bacterial small subunit ribosomal RNA
Source: RNAcentral